CCUACGGGAGGCAGCAGUGAGGAAUAUUGGACAAUGGGCGCAAGCCUGAUCCAGCCAUGCCGCGUGCAGGAUGACGGUCCUAUGGAUUGUAAACUGCUUUUAUACGAGAAGAAACACUACUUCGUGAAGUAGCUUGACGGUAUCGUAAGAAUAAGGAUCGGCUAACUCCGUGCCAGCAGCCGCGGUAAUACGGAGGAUCCAAGCGUUAUCCGGAAUCAUUGGGUUUAAAGGGUCCGUAGGCGGUUUAAUAAGUCAGUGGUGAAAGCCCAUCGCUCAACGGUGGAACGGCCAUUGAUACUGUUAGACUUGAAUUAUUAGGAAGUAACUAGAAUAUGUAGUGUAGCGGUGAAAUGCUUAGAGAUUACAUGGAAUACCAAUUGCGAAGGCAGGUUACUACUAAUAUAUUGACGCUGAUGGACGAAAGCGUGGGUAGCGAACAGGAUUAGAUACCCUGGUAGUCCACGCCGUAAACGAUGGAUACUAGCUGUUGGAAGCAAUUUCAGUGGCUAAGCGAAAGUGAUAAGUAUCCCACCUGGGGAGUACGUUCGCAAGAAUGAAAACUCAAAGUAGUAAGUUGGCGNGNGAGAGCGACGACGACGACGAGGAGGGAGGAGG
This 615-nucleotide ribosomal RNA is filed under the name uncultured bacterium. Its description in RNAcentral is "bacterial SSU rRNA". It matches the Rfam family "Bacterial small subunit ribosomal RNA", at positions 338 to 956 of the family's 1533-position model. The record is from RNAcentral.